AUUGGACAUGGGGGGAACCCUGAUCCAGCCAUGCCGCGUGUGUGAAGAAGGCCUUUUGGUUGUAAAGCACUUUAAGCGAGGAGGAGGCGCUCUAGGUUAAUACCUUAGAAGCGUGGACGUUACUCGCAGAAUAAGCACCGGCUAACUCUGUGCCAGCAGCCGCGGUAAUACAGAGGGUGCGAGCGUUAAUCGGAUUUACUGGGCGUAAAGCGUACGUAGGCGGCUUUUUAAGUCGGAUGUGAAAUCCCCGAGCUUAACUUGGGAAUUGCAUUCGAUACUGGGAAGCUAGAGUAUGGGAGAGGAUGGUAGAAUUCCAGGUGUAGCGGUGAAAUGCGUAGAGAUCUGGAGGAAUACCGAUGGCGAAGGCAGCCAUCUGGCCUAAUACUGACGCUGAGGUACGAAAGCAUGGGGAGCAAACAGGAUUAGAUACCCUGGUAGUCCAUGCCGUAAACGAUGUCUACUAGCCGUUGGGGCCUUUGAGGCUUUAGUGGCGCAGCUAACGCGAUAAGUAGACCGCCUGGGGAGUACNGUCGCAAGACUANNACUCAAAUGAAUUGACAGNGGCCCGCACAAGCGGUGGAGCAUGUGGUUUAAUNCGAUGC
Molecule: ribosomal RNA, 602 nt
Filed under: bacterium E-2-0-1B
Lineage: Bacteria
Description: bacterial SSU rRNA
Rfam family: Bacterial small subunit ribosomal RNA
Source: RNAcentral